RNAcentral lists this ribosomal RNA (2010 nucleotides) under Triticum aestivum (bread wheat). Its description in RNAcentral is "partial small subunit ribosomal RNA". The record is from RNAcentral. Lineage: Eukaryota; Viridiplantae; Streptophyta; Magnoliopsida; Poales; Poaceae.
AUGGCCGCUCCGCCGCCGGUGCUCACCUUGGCGGUGGAGAAGGGUCCGCGCAAGGGAGAGAUCUGCCAGUGCAGCGCUGGAUCCGCGCUCCGUGUCGGGCGCGUCAUCAAAGGCAACCACUUUGCCGUGCGCGAUAAGGGCGCAUCGCAGCAACAUCUCUCCAUCGAGUUCCUCCCGCCGCCCGCCGCCGGAUGGGUCGUCUCCGAUCUGGGAUCCUCCAACGGCUCCUUCCUCAACGACGUGCCCCUCGCGCCCUUUGUUCCCACCCCGCUUUCCCAUGGGAACCUGAUCAAGAUCGGCGAGUCCACCGUGCUCGCCGUGUCCAUCCCCUCCAAUUCGGAUCUGGGCACCGCCACCGCUGCCGACCCCGGAACUAGGCGCUCCUCGCGCUAUGCGGCAGAGACGGCGGCGGUGGAGGAGGAGAAGCCCCCUGCGGCGACCCGCCGGGGCACACGGAAGAAGGCAGCGGUGGCGGCGAUCCCCGAAGUGGAGAAUGAAGUGCCGGACGCGGCGGUAGUGGUAGUGGAGGAGAAGCCCCGCAGGGGCGGACGUAGGAAGGUGGCUGCAGUGGCUCCCCCUGAACAGACGGAAGAGGGGGAGAAGGAGGCCCCGGUGGGGAGGCGCCGUGGCGGACGGAAGAAGGCCGCGGAGACCUCUGAACCGGAGAAGGAGGAGGCCCCGCUGGCGCCGCCUGUUGGCGGGCGAAAGAAGACCACAGCAGUUGCUGAGUCGGAGAAAGGAGACGAGGAGGAGGAAGAGGGGGAGAAGGAGGCCCCGGCGGGGAGGCGCCGUGGUGGACGGAAGAAGGCCGCGGAGCCCUCCGAACCGGAGAAGGAGGAGGCCCCGCUGGCGCCGCCUGUUGGCGGGCGGAAGAAAACCACAGCAGCUGCUGAGUCGGAGAAAGGAGAUGAGGAGGAGGAAGAGGGGGAGAAGGAGGCCCUGGCGGGGAGGCGCCGUGGUGGACGGAAGAAGGCCGCGGAGCCCUCUGAACCUGAGAAGGAGGAGUCCCCGCCGGCGCCGCGUGCUGGCGGGCGGAAGAAGAUCACAGCAGCUGCUGAGUCGGAGAAAGGAGAUGAUGAGGAGGAAGCCCUGCUGGUGACGCGGAAGGAGGACACGGAGCCUCCUGAACUGGAGAAGGAAGACGAUGUGGAGGCCCAGAUGGCUACACGCCGUGGGAGGAGGAAGAAUGCUCCGACGGUCGCCCCUCCACCACAGCCUCUGAAGACGGGGUCCAGAGGGGGGCAGGGAAGGUUUACAAGAGCUGCUAGUACAAGGAAGGCCUUUCUAGAGGAUGAGGAAGUGGAGGAAGAGGAAGAACAUGAGGUGGCUGUGCCAAGAGAUCAGCCUGGCAACCUGUCGACUUUGACAGCGGUAAAGGAUGGUGAAGAGGAGGAGGAGGAGGAGGAGAAGGGGGAUAAGGUGACAGCUGACGAUGGAGAAAUCGAGGUGGCUGCAAAGGCAUUGGAGGAGGAAGUCCCCAAGGGGAGGGCUUCUGCUCAGUGUGCUGCUUCUGACAAUGAGGGUGAUGGGGAAAGGGGUGGCGGAGAAGAGGAAGAUGAUCGCAAUGGGGAUUUGCUUGGCAGUAGAAGAGAGGCUUCUGCUCAGUGUGCUGCUUCUGACAAUGGGGAUGAUUGGCAAAUGGGUGGAGGAGAAGAGGAAGAUGAUGGCAACGGGGAUUUGCUUGGCAGUAGAGGAGAGGCUUCUGCUCAGUGUGCUGCUUCUGACAAUGAGGGUGAUUGGGAAAUGGGUGGCGGAGAAGAGGAAGAUGAUGGCAAUGGGGAUUUGCUUGGCAGUAGAGGAGAUGUAGGAGAUGGGGCGAAGGUGGAGGAAUGUGCUGUUAGAAGCAGUCUUGAGACCAUGACAUUGCAGGAGUGGUUCGACCGGAUGGAAAAGUACCUCCCAAGGAUGAUCAACGAGGCUGCGGAUCAGAUGAUUGCGGAGUUGGAGGAGAAACAAAAGCGAGUCCAUGAGUACAUUUCAACGCUCAGUAAGAGCUCCGACCCUUCCUGA